UUUUCUUCUCCUUUUCUUACCACACAGUUGCAGCUACCCCCUGCCAUGGACUGGCAACCAGAUGAGCAGGGGCUGCAGCAGGUCUUGCAGCUGCUCAAGGACUCGCAGUCACCUAACACGGCCACACAGCGCAUAGUCCAGGAUAAACUGAAACAGCUCAAUCAGUUCCCAGAUUUCAACAACUAUCUUAUCUUCGUCCUGACUAGGUUGAAAUCAGAAGAUGAGCCGACGCGCUCCCUCAGUGGGCUCAUCCUGAAGAACAAUGUCAAAGCUCAUUACCAGAGCUUUCCACCGCCCGUGGCUGAGUUUAUCAAGCAGGAGUGUCUCAACAACAUUGGCGAUGCUUCCUCCCUCAUUCGCGCCACCAUUGGAAUUCUCAUCACCACCAUCGCCUCCAAGGGGGAGCUGCAGAUGUGGCCAGAGCUGCUGCCUCAGUUGUGCAACCUGCUUAACUCUGAGGACUACAACACCUGCGAGGGGGCCUUUGGGGCCUUGCAAAAGAUCUGCGAGGACUCGUCGGAGCUCUUGGACAGCGAUGCCCUCAAUCGCCCCCUCAAUGUCAUGAUCCCCAAGUUCCUGCAGUUCUUCAAGCAUUGCAGCCCUAAGAUCAGAUCCCAUGCCAUCGCUUGCGUGAACCAGUUCAUCAUGGACCGGGCUCAGGCACUGAUGGAUAACAUUGACACCUUCAUCGAGCACUUGUUUGCUCUGGCGGUGGAUGAAGACCCUGAGGUUCGGAAGAACGUGUGCCGGGCCUUGGUGAUGCUGCUGGAGGUGCGGAUCGACCGUCUCAUCCCACACAUGCACAGCAUCAUCCAGUACAUGCUGCAGCGCACUCAGGACAGCGAUGAGAAUGUGGCGCUGGAGGCCUGUGAGUUCUGGCUCACACUGGCUGAGCAGCCCAUCUGCAAGGAGGCCCUGACUUCUCACUUAGUACAGCUGAUCCCCAUCCUGGUGAAUGGCAUGAAAUAUUCAGAGAUUGACAUCAUCCUGCUUAAGGGCGAUGUGGAGGAGGAUGAGGCCAUCCCAGACAGCGAGCAGGACAUCAAGCCACGCUUCCACAAGUCGCGCACGGUAACACUGCAGCAUGAGGAGGAGCGGGCCCAGGACGGCGAGGACGGCGACGAUGAGGACGAUGAUGAUGACACACUCUCGGACUGGAACCUCCGAAAGUGCUCUGCGGCUGCCCUGGAUGUUCUGGCCAAUGUGUUCCGGGAGGAGCUGCUGCCCCAUCUGCUGCCCCUGCUCAAGGGACUGCUUUUCCACCCCGAGUGGGUCAUCAAGGAGUCGGGCAUCCUGGUGCUGGGCGCCAUCGCCGAGGGCUGCAUGCAGGGCAUGGUGCCCUACCUGCCCGAGCUCAUCCCACACCUGAUCCAGUGCCUGUCGGACAAGAAGGCGCUGGUGCGCUCCAUCGCGUGCUGGACGCUAAGCCGCUACGCGCACUGGGUGGUGAGCCAGCCCCCUGACACCUACCUCAAGCCCCUCAUGACCGAGCUGCUUAAGCGUAUCCUGGACAGCAACAAGCGUGUGCAGGAGGCAGCAUGCAGCGCCUUUGCCACCCUGGAGGAAGAGGCCUGCACAGAGCUGGUUCCCUACCUCAGCUUCAUACUGGACACACUGGUUUUUGCCUUUGGGAAGUACCAGCACAAAAACCUGCUCAUCUUGUACGAUGCCAUCGGCACCCUGGCUGACUCUGUGGGGCACCACCUUAACCAACCGGAGUACAUCCAGAAGCUGAUGCCUCCCCUGAUUCAGAAGUGGAACGAGUUGAAGGAUGAGGACAAGGACCUCUUCCCGCUGCUGGAAUGCCUGUCGUCUGUGGCAACCGCCCUCCAGAGUGGCUUCCUGCCCUACUGUGAACCCGUGUACCAGCGCUGUGUCACCCUGGUGCAAAAGACCCUUGCCCAGGCCAUGAUGUACAGCCAGCAUCCUGAGCAGUACGAAGCACCUGACAAGGACUUCAUGAUCGUGGCGCUGGACCUACUGAGUGGCCUGGCCGAGGGGCUGGGCUGCCACGUGGAGCAGCUGGUUGCACGCAGCAACAUCAUGACGCUACUCUUCCAGUGCAUGCAGGACACGAUGCCUGAGGUUCGGCAGAGUUCCUUCGCACUCCUGGGCGACCUCACCAAGGCUUGCUUUGUGCAUGUCAAACCCUGUAUUGCCGAAUUCAUGCCCAUCCUGGGCACAAACCUGAACCCUGAGUUCAUCUCAGUCUGCAACAAUGCAACGUGGGCCAUUGGUGAGAUCUGCAUGCAGAUGGGGGAGGAGAUGCAGCCAUAUGUGCAGAUGGUGCUGAACAACCUGGUGGAGAUCAUCAACCGGCCCAACACUCCCAAGACACUGCUGGAAAACACAGCCAUCACCAUUGGGCGCCUCGGCUAUGUGUGCCCACAGGAGGUUGCACCCAUGCUGCAGCAAUUUAUCCGGCCCUGGUGCACAUCACUGAGGAACAUCCGGGACAACGAGGAGAAGGACUCUGCUUUCCGUGGCAUCUGUGUCAUGAUCCGUGCCAACCCUGCAGGCGUCAUGCAGGAUUUCAUCUUCUUUUGUGAUGCCGUCGCCUCCUGGGUGAGCCCCAAGGAUGACCUGCGGGACAUGUUUUAUAAGAUCCUCCAUGGCUUCAAGGAGCAGGCGGGUGAGGAGAGCUGGCAGCAGUUCUCAGAGCAGUUCCCGCCCCUGCUCAAGGAGCGGCUGGCGGCAUUUUACGGGGUCUAGGCAGAGCAGUGAUGCCAGCUAGGUUCCCGUCCGUGCUGGGAGGGUUACCGGGAUCGUGUCAAUCCCCAGGAAGCUUCCCUCUCUCCUGCCCUGGCUUGAUGUGAUGCUCUAACACAGCAAGAAACACACUCCCUAUGAGGGUCCUGGAUCAGCAGGUGCUGGGAGUCGGGGCAGGGCAGCUGUAGGAGACGCAUGCGCUGUGUUGUGAUCUUCCUUAAAGGCAAAAGACCCCCCUCCCCCCAGUGCAGUGAAUUGUUGUAACCUGUUUUUAACCUGUCCUUUGCUGUCUCGUGACCCAGCCCAUCAUGUGCCCCUCGGCCUUAGUUGGGGGGGGUCUGUACCUUAUUCACUGUGGGCCAGGGAUAGACACAGGCUGGGGCUUGGAUCUCAUGCCUCAGCAGGCGCUUGGCUGAGGUCCUGCCAUGGUGCGCAAAUCUAUUCCAGCCCUGGGUGGUCUUAAUGGCUGCAGGUUGGUGCCCUUGGGAUCCCAGGUGGGUGUGGGGGUGGAGUUUAUUUUACUAUUAAUUGGUUACCAGGCAGAAGGCAAGGGGGGGGGGGGGUGGGGACGCACUUUCAUGGAGGAAGGGGAUUGCAAGGAACUGCUGCUGCUGGGAGAAGUUGAUCUGGUGCAGCCAGGAUCAGCGGGGUAGGUGAUGGCAUCUACAGGGGGAAGAGAAAAUCUAUCCCCACUGCAUCCUGCCCCACGGGGAAGCAAGAGAGAUUUCCAACUCCCAGUUGGCCUCGCCCUGUGUCAGCAGUAGGGUGCUGGUUUCCAGGCAGGGGCAGAUACUGCCUUCCUCUGACCCUGGUCUCCUCGUACUGGAACAGCCAUCAGCAAGGGGAACCGCCACCAGCCCAGUCCAGUGCCUGUCGAGAAGACUCCCUGUCCUGGGCCCACAUAUGAAAAGAACCACAGGCCACAGCCACUGAUGCAUUACAGGGGCCCUGUGGGGCCCAGGCUUCAUGGCUUCCCUCCCUACACUGGGGCAAACACCCCCAGGGCCUUUGCUGCCUCUGAGGGGGCCUCUGCUUCUUAGCAAGGACCUCUCUUCUUUUUAAAGCAUUCCCAUUGGGUUCUGUGCUCUCUGUUCCUCUCUGCGGAAGACCGAUGCCUCCAGUGAGGGCUGCCUCUCCUGCUCUUUUGAAAUGCAUGAGCCCAGGGGCCACAGCUGGAGGCUGCAAGUCCCCCUUUGCGCCGGUGACGUCUUGGCGCCUUGUCCUGGAUGCCUGCAGCUCCCCAUGCACCUUUCGUGCCAGUGCUUCUCGCUUGCGCCUCCUGGAUCCAUGUCGUCGUGGCUGUGCUGUGCAUUCUCAGUGGUGAUGCCCCUUGUGCCCCAUGUUGCAGCCGCUACUUGCACCUUGCUGGAAUGAGGUUUCUCUCAUUUUAUGUAUAAUUUUUUUUUUUUUGUCUACUUAUGAAACGGAACAAGCCUGAGCCACUCCUUUGUCUGCCUGGCUUCUUUUCCCUGCCCUCCAAGGCUUCAGUUUGGGGCUGAAACUAGGCAGUGGGCUGUAGUUAAUAGCGGGAUCUGUCUGUCUUUUCCUGCUUCAGAUUUAUAGCAGGAGGGAGCAAGGUUGGAGAUAAAGAGGUUUCUGUUCCUCAUGGGAGUUCCCAGGGUGGGGGAAAUCUCCUUCCUAAGAAGCGAGCAGCAGGUUUGGCAAGAGUGGAUCCUGUAGAGGGAGAGACUGAACUGGGACUGUAGUGAUCUAUCCCCUAUUCAAUAUCAGAUCUCUCUCCUGUGAUCUCUUCAGAGUAUUGAUAGGGGUUAGAGCUAGAGUGAUCCAUCCCCUAUUCAACAUCCUUCCUCCUCUCUAAUGUUAGAGGUACCAAAGGAAAUGUCUCCAACUGCCCUGUUCAAUAGCCGUUAAUAGAUAUCAGCCGUGAAUUUAUCCAGU
Alligator sinensis (Chinese alligator) is the source of this 4608-nucleotide RNA transcript. It is a transcript of the gene named transportin 2, with no coding region annotated. The record is from RefSeq and is a predicted model, not a curated record. The transcript has 25 exons. Lineage: Eukaryota; Metazoa; Chordata; Crocodylia; Alligatoridae.